CUGGCUUUCCCAAGUUAUCACAACAGUGAUAAAAUGGUAUAAAAACAACAGAUCCCAUGUUACAAUCCACUCAAAAAUUAUAAGGGAUCUAAGGGUCUCAGGCGAAUUGCAUUCAUUACACAAUCAUGAAAGCGUGGCCACUGAAAGUGCAGGCCCUUUUUCCUCUCCAAGCCUGGUGGUCAUCCUGUUUUGCAAACAGAGAGGAUCUUACCCCGGAUCACUGAGCCAUCCAGCUGGGAAUGACACCCACACCUACUUACAGCCAGAAGUGCUUUCGUUUGUUAUUUCGUAUUUAUGCCCAUAAAAGCGGAAGAUGAUUGGUCUCUUCAUUGAAAGAAUGGCCAUGAUCAGCUUUGUGGUUUCGGGGGCGGGGAUGGGAGGGUAAGAUAAAAGUGUUUUGGCACAAACUCCUAGUUAUAAGAUAAAUACAGACGAAGUACGUGAUGUACAACAUGAUAAAUAUAAUUAACACUGCUAUAUGUUAUGGGUGAACAUUGUUUAAAGGGUAAAUCCUAAGAGUUCUCAUCACAAGGAAAAAAAUCUAUUUCUUUAAUUUUAGAUCUACGUAAGAUGACGGAUGGUCGCUCAACUCCUUGUGAUAAUCAUUUCAUGUUGUGUGUAAGUCCGGUUAUUACGCUGUCCGCCUUAAAUGUAUAGUGCGGUGUGUCCACUGUUGUGUGCUCAGUUAUGCCUGACUCUUUGUGACCCCGUGGACUGUAGCCCACCAGGCUCCUCUGUCCAUGGGGCUCUCUAGGCAAGAAUACUAAAGUGGGUUGACAUUUCCUAUUCCAGGGGAUCUUCCUGACUCAGGGAUUGAAUGCACAUCUCCCUUGUCUCCUGCAUCAGCAAGCUAAUUCUUUACCACUGGGUCACCUGGGAAGUGUAUCCAUUGUAUCUCAACAAAAGUGGAAGGGAGAAAAAUAGAUGACCACAGUUCUUAAACAUGUAUCUCCACCUUCCAUAACACUAAGCCUAACUUUUUUUUUUUCCCCCUACAAAAUGUGAGCCCUUAGUUCUCUGACCAGGGAUCAAACCCCUGCCCCUUACAGCAAAAGGGAGUCCUAACCACCGGACCAUUAGGCAAGUCCUUUACCACUCACUUUUGAUGAAGUUCCUCUCAGGUGGACACAGACCAGAGCGGCUAGUCAGAGUAUUCAGAGGCAGAGAGAAAACUCCUUAUCGGAGGUUCUGACUACAGAAAAUGUAGAAAUAAAUCUUCUUUAAUGACUUCCGAAAGCACACCCUGGUAAUUUACUUUGGUCUUGCUGUGUUCUUGCUUUUUUGUUGUUGUUGUUGUUGUUUUUUUUAACAACUUCAGACUAGAAGAUUUGGGUAUUUGGAGGUUUGUUUGCUUUUCAGUUAGAACUCAGAAAAUCAUCUGUCUUACCUCAAAGAUGAGCAUAGAAUGCAUUACAGACCG
This is a long non-coding RNA of Bos taurus (domestic cattle), 1420 nucleotides long. NCBI's taxonomy places the organism in Eukaryota, Metazoa, Chordata, Mammalia, Artiodactyla, Bovidae. The record is from Ensembl.